GACGUAGGGCGCGAGCGUUGUCCGGAUUUAUUGGGCGUAAAGAGCUUGUAGGCGGUUUGUCGCGUCUGCCGUGAAAAUUCGAGGCUCAACCUCGAACUUGCGGUGGGUACGGGCAGACUAGAGUGUGGUAGGGGAGACUGGAAUUCCUGGUGUAGCGGUGAAAUGCGCAGAUAUCUGGAGGAACACCGGUGGCGAAAGCGCGAGACUGGGCCAUAACGUGACGCUGAGGAGCGAAAGCGAUGGGGAGCGAACGGAGGA
This 258-nucleotide ribosomal RNA is filed under the name uncultured bacterium. RNAcentral's name for it is "partial 16S ribosomal RNA". It matches the Rfam family "Bacterial small subunit ribosomal RNA", at positions 524 to 779 of the family's 1533-position model. The record is from RNAcentral.